AUUGAACGCUGGCGGCAGGCCUAACACAUGCAAGUCGAACGGUAACAGGAAGAAGCUUGCUUCUUUGCUGACGAGUGGCGGACGGGUGAGUAAUGUCUGGGAAACUGCCUGAUGGCGGGGGAUAACUACUGGAAACGGUAGCUAAUACCGCAUAACGUCGCAAGACCAAAGAGGGGGACCUUCGGGCCUCUUGCCAUCGGAUGUGCCCAGAUGGGAUUAGCUAGUAGGUGGGGUAACGGCUCACCUAGGCGACGAUCCCUAGCUGGUCUGAGAGGAUGACCAGCCACACUGGAACUGAGACACGGUCCAGACUCCUACGGGAGGCAGCAGUGGGGAAUAUUGCACAAUGGGCGCAAGCCUGAUGCAGCCAUGCCGCGUGUAUGAAGAAGGCCUUCGGGUUGUAAAGUACUUUCAGCGGGGAGGAAGAGAGUAAAGUUAAUACCUUUGCUCAUUGAUGGUACCCGAAGAAGAAGCACCGGCUAACUCCGUG
This 490-nucleotide ribosomal RNA is filed under the name uncultured bacterium. Its description in RNAcentral is "partial 16S ribosomal RNA". It matches the Rfam family "Bacterial small subunit ribosomal RNA", at positions 30 to 507 of the family's 1533-position model. The record is from RNAcentral.